CCUACGGGAGGCAGCAGUGAGGAAUAUUGGUCAAUGGACGAGAGUCUGAACCAGCAAAGUAGCGUGAAGGAUGACUGCCCUAUGGGUUGUAAACUUCUUUUAUAUGGGAAUAAAACGUUCCACGUGUGGGAUUUUGUAUGUCACAUAUGAAUAAGGAUCGGCUAACUCCGUGCCAGCAGCCGCGGUAAUACGGAGGAUCCGAGCGUUAUCCGGAUUUAUUGGGUUUAAAGGGGGCGUAGGUGGAUUGUUAAGUCAGUUGUGAAAGUUUGCGGCUCAACCUUAAAAUUGCAGUUGAAACUGGCAGUCUUGAGUACAGUAGAGGUGGGCGGAAUUCGUGGUGUAGCGGUGAAAUGCUUAGAUAUCACGAAGAACUCCGAUUGCGAAGGCAGUUCACUGGACUGCAACUGACACUGAGGCUCGAAAGUGUGGGUAUCAAACAGGAUUAGAUACCCUUGUAGUC
This 460-nucleotide ribosomal RNA is filed under the name uncultured bacterium. RNAcentral describes it as "partial 16S ribosomal RNA". It matches the Rfam family "Bacterial small subunit ribosomal RNA", at positions 338 to 795 of the family's 1533-position model. The record is from RNAcentral.